AGAGAAAGAAAGAAUGGAAAAAAAAAAGCCCCAAGAAGCAGCCGCCGCACAGAGGUUAUCCGGGGGACAGAGCAAAUAAUUGGCGAGGCGAACAAUGCAUUUUAAUUAAACCUCUGCAGGAAACGAGGGGAGGGAAUCAAGUUAAUUGCACGGAGCGGGAGCAGGAGAUUAAAAAUGCUCUUUGCUCAGAAGAUGGUGGCUCCCAUCCGCCUUUGCCGAGGAAAACAAGGCCACCUGGGGUGGCAGUGCCGGCGUGGGGACACGCAGCUCGCUGGCUCUGCCGGAGCUCGGUGUGACAGCAGGGUCUGGGGGGAUCGUGCUGAUCCUCUCUGCCAAGGGGCUGGAGGUGCCCGGUCCACAGGGAUGGGUGCAGGAUGAGCCUGGGGUGUGGGAGCCGCUCCUGGGAAGUCCCACAGGGAUGGGGACAUUGCUUGUGUCUGCAGGAAAAGGAUCACGAGAUGUGUCCCAGGGGAUGUGUCCCAUAACUGCUCAGCCCUUCCCCUGCUCCGUGCCCUCUGCUCAGCCCAGGCUGUUCCUGGCACUCUCCCCAUGAAAAACCACCAGCUUUUACAUUUUCCUCCUCAUGAUACUUCAAAUUUCACCUCUCUCUGCUUGGGGCCCUAUAUUUUUCUCAACUACUCCCUUUCCUGAUCUUUCAAUCCCUUGUCUUCACCCCACCCUGGACACCACAAACGGAGAGACCCCGACUCGCUGCCAGCGAGCCCCAGAAGAGCAGCACAUCCACAGGCUGCCUUCCUGCUCAAGAGAGCCAACAGGAUCACAGGCUGCUGUAAAAGACAGGGGCAGGACCGAGCACCCCACUGCUGACACGGGGCAGCGCUCCCAUCCCCUGGGCACCCAUCCCCAGGCCAGGAGGCACCAACCUCUGCUCCGAGGCAAUUUGUGAGCUCAGAACCCUGCCCUGCCUCCCACCGCCCGCUAAUGAGCCCCAUACCCAUCCGCCUGCCAUGAGAACAGCAAUCAGCACCGCCGCUCGCCUGCUAGGAACAAUCUCCCUCCUCUCCUCCUCUGCAUAAAUUUCCCAGGCUGUGGUUUUCAGCCUCUUAUCCCACAUAGCUUUAUUCACAAGAGAUGUCCCACUGGGGGUAAGGAAAUUACUCCAGCGAGGAAAAUUGCCCGGGCACGGGAUGCACACCCAGGGCACCACACGAGGGGCUGGGGUGGUUUGGUUUUUUUGCACAGCAUCGAAACCAAAAUAAAUCCACGGAGGGAACUCAGAGCCAAGCCUUGCUCCUGACCACGGGUAAGAGCCAGACAAAUUAUAGCAAUUAAAAAGAAGAAAGAGGCAUGUGGACUUUCAUAUCCACAAACCUCAGGACGCAGCCGGUGGGGGAGAGAGCAUUUCCCAGUCACACACAGGCAGCAAAGCCGACACACAUCACAAAAUACACCGUGUUCUCAGAGGCACAAGCUGUCCCUCCAGGCUCCGGUGGCACGAGGCUGGGACAGCCUGUCCCUGCACAGGAUGGCUGUCAGCAGCAGGACACAGGCUGUAUUGUCCCCAGAGCUGGAGAUUGAAUUGCAGGUUGGCCCUUCCCGCUGUGCACAAGCGCUGCCCUGAUGGGAAACGAGAGUUCAGCCGAGAUCUUCCGCUUUUCCCCUGCAGCUGCAGGCGGACAGGCAGGAAAACCACAGAGUUCUGCUCAAAUGCUCACACCGAGCAGCUUUCCAGCCAGAGAAACGCUGCUGCUUCACCACAUGCUUAAAUUGCAUGUUGGGAGGGAGGAAAUUGCCCGCUAUUUUCACCCCAAACCUGUGUCAGAGCCAGGAGGUGAAGCCUGUCAUGCUGACAGCGAGAUGGCUGCAGCAUCCCCAGGCUGUUUGUUCAACAGGAGCAUCCAAAAGGGAAUAAGGCUGGAUUAAACUCAGCAUCCCCAAGAAAGUGAGGGGAGGAGGGGCAGAAACAGCAGCCCCAACCCAAAAUCCCAUUCCCAGACACCCCCUUGCUGCUGCCUCUCCAUCACUCCUGGGGCUGUCUCAACCCUCCUGGGGGUAUCCACGGCACCCCUGGAGAUCUGCAAAGAUCCCUGGCUGCCAGCAGGGCAGUGGGAACACUCCUCUGCCUGCCACGCUGCAGGGACAGGGACAUUUGGCAGCUGCCUGCCGGGAAGGUGUCUGGAGCGCUGUGGGAACAUGAGUCAGAGCUCCCUGCUCUCCCUGACGUCUCCCUCCUGCUCAUUUAUUCACCACGUCAAAUAUUUGCCCUGCGCAGACCUGCGUUAUCCAGGAGGGGGGUUUUUUCCCUUCUGCUGGCAGUGACAGCUUCGAAAAAGCCACCACAGUGCCAUCUUGGGAAACUUGACCACCCAGCGAAGCAGUUCCAGCAUCCUUUUCCUCGCCUGCUCCAGGGACCGGCUCCUGUUCAAGCAGCCAUCCCCUCUGUGAGGGAUGGAGGGGCUGGAUGCCAAAACCCACAGGCUAAAGCAACAACCCACGGGUCUGUGGAGGGAAAAGGUCAUUUCAGACCCACUUCCAGCACGGCCUGAGUGACAGUAAAGCUGGGAGCCUGCGGGAAGCGAGCAGUGGCCCUGCUGUCCCCUCAUGUCCCCGAACAUCCUGCCUGGAAGCGGCACACGCAGUGGCAGGAGAGGCCAGCCAAGGAAAACUGCUCAAUUUUGCCUCCCUUCGGCAAGGAAGUAGCUUUGCUGGCUGCCAGCCCCACAGCACUCCCCUGAGGACCUCAGUCUUCUUUUUUUUGAGCCAGAUCCCUGGAUUUCUUGCUGCAAGGGCUGCUCACACCCUGAAUUCCCGAUCCCCAGGGAGAAGGAAAGGUGUUUAUCUUUGAAAGCUAAAGGCUGGAGAAGGUGACCUUGAGCAGAGAUGACACAAGAGAAUUCAUGUCCCACCUGGCCCCAAGGGAUUUUUAUCCCAGGGUUGCAGCCAAAAAUGUCCCAUUUCAUGGAGAAAGUGCAGAAAUGGCUCAUAAAGCACAAGCUUGGGGAUGCAGCUGAGCAGAUCAGCUGCCAGAUAAAGACAGCGUGCUCUGGGGGAAAACACACCUGCUUCCAUCCUGGCUGGGAAAGGAGGAGGAAAAUCUCCCUUCACUCUCCAUUCCCAGCAAGGACACACACAAAGCUUUCACCUUUUGCAACAGCUUCCCAGGAUCAGGGCUGUCAUUUUUUGAUGGUGGGGACUCCAGAGCCUGCUGGUCCCAAGCCAGCCGGCUCAGCAUUCCUCCUCUUCCUUGGGAAGCCAUGAUGCAUGGAAAAGCCUUAGGGCUGGAAAAAAAACCACAAAAAGCUUCUGCAGUGCUGUCAGAAAUAGCACCAGGAGAGAAGGGAACUGCCUGCUGGGUUUGGCCCCCUCAGUCCUGCAUCCUGCUCCAUCCCUGAGCUCCAUCCCCAGCCAGCUGCAGAGGGAGAGAAAGCAUGCGGAUUUUCUGGGAUUUUCCAGCUUAGCCAGUGUUUACAGAGCUGCCCAUCCCUCUUUGCUUGCAGAGGAGCAAGUUUGGCUGAGCCCAAGGCCAAGGACUGCUGGAAGAUAUGUUCAGAGUCCUUUGGGGAAACCAGCAGGGGGUAAAAACAACUCAGCCAAGACACCCCCCGUGUCUCCUGGCUGGACAAGGAGCUGCAGUGACCUUGUCCAAACAUGGCCUGGAGUUGGGAGUGAGGACGGAGAGGAUGUGACUCACAUCUGGGAUGUGGCCACAGAGGACAGAUGUGUUUUAUUACUGUCCAGCCCCUCUCUGCAGCUCUGUCUCAGUGACUCAGCCUUGCCUUUGGGCCUUUCCUAAAGGAGCUACAGCACAGCCCUUCCCAGCAGCUUCCCUCUGCUGCAGGAAAAUGGAUUUGGGAAAUUCAGGCUCCUGCAAAGGGGAAAAACAAAUAAAUUAAAACAAAUCAAAGUUAUGUUUCUCCAUGGGAAUAGUCCAAUUUUAAUUGUAAAUCAUUCAGAGAAGGAUGAAAUCAAAUGUUUUAGUGGUAGGAUUCAUCUCUCUGUGUUUAGAGACUUAAAAGCUGAACAUGCCCCAGUCCCAGUGGGAAGGACAGUGAGGAGUCCCCUGGGUUUUCUUGGACACGUCCCACAGGGCAAGAGGAAACAUCUGGAGAUGUUGCAUGUCUGGAGGGAGGAAUAAGGGGAUUUCAGCAGGUCUGCUUCCCACAAUCCUGAGGAAACUCAGCAGCAUUCAGCGGAGAGAGCUGCAAAGCACUGAGACCAGGCAGAGCCCCCAUGUGUUAGACACCAGAGAAUCUAAAGGGGGGAGCUCUGCAGCCAGCUGGGCACUGCUCGUCGUUUCUGGGCCUUCCCGUGGAAUCCCGACACAGCUUCCCCACCCUGGGAAGGGCUUCCCUUCCCACAUCAACCCCCAAAGAUCCUUGGGCACCCUUACCUUCGCUAUUUACCCACCGCUGCCACCGGGUACCGAGGGAGGCACGGGGUGACGGCCCUGCCCAGACCCCCCUUCCCCACCCGUGCUUUUCCCAGCGGGAAAGCAGCUGGAGCACAUCAGCCGGGCGGCUUUUCCAGCCUCGUCCCGGCCUUGAGGGCACCGGGAGCCAAAGCUCCGUGAGCCCCGCGGGGCCAAGCGCUGCCCGGCCCGGGAGCCAGCCGUGCAGUUCUCCUGGCAGACACUGGAUGGGGCUACGAAACCGGCUGCAGGCACAGCUGGCACGGCCGGGGGGCACAACGGCCUCUGCCAGAUGUUUUGGGGUCCCUCUUUAGGGGUGGCGGGCUGGCCGUGCCACAGCUGCCACCACCCAGGCGGGAUGCCGGGCCUGGCACCAGGUGACAUCAAUCCGGGCUCCACCUCUCUGGACGCCGAGUGAGGAUCCCGCAGCACCUGGGGAAAGCUGGAGGCUUCACCUCCUGAGGCUUCACCUCCUGAGGCUUCACCUCCAGAGGCUUCACCUCCUGAGGCUUCACCUCCAGAGGCUUCACCUCCUGAGGCUUCUCCAUGUCCUGAGCGCGGGGAUGGGAAGGGAGAGCAAAAGCUGCUGCCUUGCAAAGUGCUGAUGAAGAUUUCUGCUGCAGUUACAAGGUGAGCUGCAGUCAGCAAGCUGGAGAUCUCCAUGCCAGCCGUGGUGGAAGCAGAGAUCGGGGGCACAGCCACUUCUACAUCCCUGAAGAUGCUUCCUACACCUACAUCGACUGGUUCUGGAUCAGAAGUCAACAGCAGAGAGCCAAGGGGUGAUCACUGUGGCCAUCAUCGUGGAGGUUGUGCUGGGUGCUGUCAUCUUCCUGCACAAUAAAGGCAAGAUUUCAUAAAUAAAGGCAGGAGAGAGCCCCUGCCUGGCUCUGCACACCUCACACCCCCUCCUCUCCCCUCAGAACUGAAGAGUGAGAAAUCCAUCGCUCUGGAAACUUUCUGUGUGCCUGCUACCUUCAAACCCUUCCUGCUCUUGGAUUUCCUUCUGCCAGCCCUGCUCCAGCCCCUCGGGUGUCACCUGGCCGUGUCUGAACCUCUCAGGUGCUGCUUGAGCAGCAAAGCUGGAUCCAUUCUCUGUUCUGGAGAAGCCACAGCAAUAUCAGGGAAAAUGAUCCCAUUAAUCCCUGCUUGUGGAAGGACGUGAAGCUUUUUCAGAUCAUUCCUUGUGCUGCCACUGCCUGUUAAAGGGAUGGCACAGAGCAGAGUGAGCCUGCUCUGGGGGUGCAGAACCUGAGGACAAAUCCCACCCAGGACUGUCUCAGUGGCUCUGUUCUCAGCAGCUUUUUUUCCCAUGGGAUGCAUCUGCUGGAGUGCAGGGAAAAUAAAGAUCCCCUGAAACUCCCCAUUAAAUUGAAUAAUAAAACAUUGGUGUAUCCUAUCAAGUAAAAAGACAUCUUUUAUCGUGGAAGAACUGGUUUGGAAUUCUACACAAACUGGGGAAAGGAGGGACCUGGCCUCCCUUUGGCAGCUAAGAGAGGGAAUUAAUGUCAGAAUUGUUAUCACACCUUGCCCAGCAGCAGCAUUGGAAUGAGAUUUUUAUACACUGAACUCUUCAUUAUAUUUUUCUGAGGUCACAGGGGGUACUUGAGGUCAUUGGAGGGUCUUAAAAUUGAUCCAGGGGUUAUUUGAGGUCAUUUCAGCCCCUGUUUGGGGUUACUUGAAGUCACAGAGGUCAUUUGAGGUCAUUUGAGACACUGGGGUUACUCGAGGUCACAGGGGUCAUUUGAGGUCAACUGAGACCCUCUUCAGGUUUACUUGAGGUCA
This is a non-coding RNA of Cyanistes caeruleus (blue tit), 6151 nucleotides long. The record is from RefSeq and is a predicted model, not a curated record. Lineage: Eukaryota; Metazoa; Chordata; Aves; Passeriformes; Paridae.